GGAUUGCCCUAGUAACGGCGAGUGAAGCGGCAACAGCUCAAAUUUGAAAUCUGGCUCUUUCAGAGUCCGAGUUGUAAUUUGCAGAGGGCGCUUUGGCGUUGGCAGCGGUCCAAGUUCUUUGGAACAGGACGUCACAGAGGGUGAGAAUCCCGUACGUGGUCGCUAGCCUUCGCCGUGUAAAGCCCCUUCGACGAGUCGAGUUGUUUGGGAAUGCAGCUCUAAAUGGGAGGUAAAUUUCUUCUAAAGCUAAAUAUUGGCCAGAGACCGAUAGCGCACAAGUAGAGUGAUCGAAAGAUGAAAAGCACUUUGGAAAGAGAGUCAAAUAGCACGUGAAAUUGUUGAAAGGGAAGCGCUUGCAGCCAGACUUGCCUGUAGUUGCUUAUCCGGACUUUUGUCCGGUGCACUCUUCUGCGGGCAGGCCAGCAUCAGUUUGGGCGGUUGGAUAAAGGUCUCUGUCAUGUACCUCCUUUCGGGGAGGCCUUAUAGGGGAGACGACAUGCAACCAGCCUGGACUGAGGUCCGCGCAUCUGCUAGGAUGCUGGCGUAAUGGCUGUAAGCGGCCCGUCUUGAAACACGGACCAAGGAGUCUAACAUCUAUGCGAGUGUUUGGGUGUCAAGCCCAGACGCGUAAUGAAAGUGAACGGAGGUGGGAACCUUUUAGGUGCACCAUCGACCGAUCCUGAUGUCUUCGGAAGGAUUUGAGUAAGAGCAUGGCUGUUGGGACCCGAAAGAUGGUGAACUAUGCUUGAAUAGGGUGAAGCCAGAGGAAACUCUGGUGGAGGCUCGCAGCGGUUCUGACGUGCAAAUCGAUCGUCAAAUUUGGGCAUAGGGGCGAAAGACUAAUCGAACUAUCUAGUAGCUGGUUCCUGCCGAAGUUUCCCUCAGGAUAGCAGUAACGUAUUCAGUUUUAUGAGGUAAAGCGAAUGAUUAGAGGCCUGGGGGUUGAAACAACCUUCACCUAUUCUCAAACUUUAAAUAUGUAAGAAGUCCUUGUUACUUGAUUGAACGUGGACACUUGAAUGUACCGUUACUAGUGGGCCAUUUUUGGUAAGCAGAACUGGCGAUGCGGGAUGAACCGAACGCGGGGUUAAGGUGCCAGAAUAUACGCUCAUCAGACACCACAAAAGGUGUUAGUUCAUCUAGACAGCAGGACGGUGGCCAUGGAAGUCGGAAUCCGCUAAGGAGUGUGUAACAACUCACCUGCCGAAUGAACUAGCCCUGAAAAUGGAUGGCGCUCAAGCGUAUUACCCAUACCCCGCCGCCGGGGCAGAAUUUAUGCCCCGGCGAGUAGGCAGGCGUGGAGGCUCGUGACGAA
Molecule: ribosomal RNA, 1315 nt
Filed under: Didymocyrtis cladoniicola
Lineage: Eukaryota; Fungi; Ascomycota; Dothideomycetes; Pleosporales; Phaeosphaeriaceae
Description: eukaryotic LSU rRNA
Rfam family: Eukaryotic large subunit ribosomal RNA
Source: RNAcentral